AGUGAACGCUGGCGGUAGGCCUAACACAUGCAAGUCGAACGGCAGCACAGUAAGAGCUUGCUCUUACGGGUGGCGAGUGGCGGACGGGUGAGGAAUACAUCGGAAUCUACUUUUUCGUGGGGGAUAACGUAGGGAAACUUACGCUAAUACCGCAUACGACCUACGGGUGAAAGCAGGGGAUCUUCGGACCUUGCGCGAUUGAAUGAGCCGAUGUCGGAUUAGCUAGUUGGCGGGGUAAAGGCCCACCAAGGCGACGAUCCGUAGCUGGUCUGAGAGGAUGAUCAGCCACACUAGAACUGAGACACGGUCCAGACUCCUACGGGAGGCAGCAGUGGGGAAUAUUGGACAAUAGGCGCAAGCCUGAUCCAGCCAUACCGCGUGGGUGAAGAAGGCCUUCGGGUUGUAAAGCCCUUUUGUUGGGAAAGAAAAGCAGCAGGUUAAUACCCCGCUGUUCUGACGGUACCCAAAGAAUAAGCACCGGCUAACUUCGUG
Molecule: ribosomal RNA, 492 nt
Filed under: uncultured bacterium
Lineage: Bacteria
Description: partial 16S ribosomal RNA
Rfam family: Bacterial small subunit ribosomal RNA
Source: RNAcentral